Molecule: ribosomal RNA, 253 nt
Filed under: uncultured bacterium
Lineage: Bacteria
Description: partial 16S ribosomal RNA
Rfam family: Bacterial small subunit ribosomal RNA
Source: RNAcentral
UACGAAGGGGGCUAGCGUUGCUCGGAUUGACUGGGCGUAAAGGGCGCGUAGGCGGUUUGUACAGUCAGACGUGAAAUUCCCGGGCUCAACCUGGGGGCUGCGUUUGAUACGUGCAGACUUGAGUUCGGAAGAGGGUCGUGGAAUUCCCAGUGUAGAGGUGAAAUUCGUAGAUAUUCGGAAGAACACCAGUGGCGAAGGCGACUUACUGGUCCAUGACUGACGCUGAGGCUCGAAAGCGUGGGGAGCAAACAGG